Molecule: ribosomal RNA, 443 nt
Filed under: uncultured bacterium
Lineage: Bacteria
Description: partial 16S ribosomal RNA
Rfam family: Bacterial small subunit ribosomal RNA
Source: RNAcentral
CCUACGGGUGGCUGCAGUGGGGAAUAUUGGGCAAUGGGCGCAAGCCUGACCCAGCAACGCCGCGUGAAGGAAGAAGGCUUUCGGGUUGUAAACUUCUUUUGUCAGGGACGAAGCACGUGACGGUACCUUACGCAUACGCCACGGCUAACUACGUGCCAGCAGCCGCGGUAAUACGUAGGUGGCAAGCGUUAUCCGGAUUUACUGGGUGUAAAGGGCGUGUAGGCGGGACUGCAAGUCAGAUGUGAAAACCACGGGCUCAACCUGUGGCCUGCAUUUGAAACUGUGGGUCUGGAGUACUGGAGAGGCAGACGGAAUUCCUAGUGUAGCGGUGAAAUGCGUAGAUAUUAGGAGGAACACCAGUGGCGAAGGCGGUCUGCUGGACAGCAACUGACGCUGAGGCGCGAAAGCGUGGGGAGCAAACAGGAUUAGAUACCCGUGUAGUC